UUGAUCCUGGCUCAGAAUCAACGCUGGCGGCGUGCCUAACACAUGCAAGUCGAACGCGAAAGGGGAGCAAUCCCUGAGUAGAGUGGCAAACGGGUGAGUUACACGUGGGUGACCUGCCUUCGAGUGGGGGAUAACGUCCCGAAAGGGACUCUAAUACCGCAUGACAUCCUGCUCUUGGAAGAGCGGAGAUCAAAGCUGGUGAUCGCAAGACCUGGCGCUUGAAGAGGGGCCCGCGCCUGAUUAGCUAGUUGGUAGGGUAAUGGCCUACCAAGGCAACGAUCAGUAUCCGGCCUGAGAGGUCGGACGGACACACUGGGACUGAGACACGGCCCAGACUCCUACGGGAGGCUGCAGUGGGGAAUUGUUCGCAAUGGGCGCAAGCCUGACGACGCAACGCCGUGUGGAGGACGAAGAUCUUCGGGUCGUAAACUCCUGUCGAGUGGGAAGAAUGGAUCAGGGGUGAAUAAUCCCUGGUAUUGACGGUACCACUAAAGGAAGCUCCGGCUAACUCCGUGCCAGCAGCCGCGGUAAUAAGGU
This 537-nucleotide ribosomal RNA is filed under the name uncultured Acidobacteriota bacterium. RNAcentral describes it as "bacterial SSU rRNA". It matches the Rfam family "Bacterial small subunit ribosomal RNA", at positions 13 to 529 of the family's 1533-position model. Lineage: Bacteria; Pseudomonadati; Acidobacteriota. The record is from RNAcentral.